RNAcentral lists this ribosomal RNA (253 nucleotides) under uncultured bacterium. RNAcentral describes it as "partial 16S ribosomal RNA". It matches the Rfam family "Bacterial small subunit ribosomal RNA", at positions 524 to 776 of the family's 1533-position model. The record is from RNAcentral.
UACGAAGGGGGCUAGCGUUGUUCGGAAUCACUGGGCGUAAAGGGCGCGUAGGCGGGCUAUCAAGUCCGGGGUGAAAUCCUCCAGCUCAACUGGAGAACGGCCUCGGAUACUGAUGGUCUCGAGGGGGAUAGGGGCACACGGAACUGUGGGUGGAGCGGUGAAAUGCGUUGAUAUCCAUAGGAACUCCGGUGGCGAAAGCGGUGUGCUGGAUCCCUUCUGACGCUGAGGCGCGAAAGCCAGGGGAGCGAACGGG